CCUACGGGUGGCAGCAGUGGGGAAUAUUCGGCAAUGGAGGAAACUCUGACCGAGCAACGCCGCGUGAGUGAUGAAGGUCUUCGGAUCGUAAAGCUCUGUGAUGGGGGAUGAACAAAAUGAUGGUUCACUAAUAGCAAGCUGCGGGUAACUACGGGCCAGCAGCCGCGGUAAUACGUAGGUGGCAAGGGUUAUCCGGAAUGACUGGGCGUAAGGGGCGCGUAGGUGGUUUAGUAAGUUGGCGGUGUAAUUCCGUGGCUCAACCUGGGCGAUACCGCCGAAACUAGUAGACUAGAGUGCAGGAGAGGAGAGUGGAAUUCCAAGUGUAGCGGUGGAAUGCGUAGAUAUAAGGAGGAACAUCAGGGGCGAAGGCGACUUUCUGGUCUGUAACUGACGCUGAGGCACGAAAGCGUGGGGAGCAAACAGGAUUAGAUACCCGGGUAGUC
RNAcentral lists this ribosomal RNA (443 nucleotides) under uncultured bacterium. RNAcentral describes it as "partial 16S ribosomal RNA". It matches the Rfam family "Bacterial small subunit ribosomal RNA", at positions 338 to 795 of the family's 1533-position model. The record is from RNAcentral.